RNAcentral lists this unclassified non-coding RNA (1254 nucleotides) under Hevea brasiliensis (rubber tree). Lineage: Eukaryota; Viridiplantae; Streptophyta; Magnoliopsida; Malpighiales; Euphorbiaceae. The record is from RNAcentral.
GGAAGUUUGAGUGGAUAAGAUGAAGAGUCCCUUGCACAUUGUUUGGAAAAUAUUUGAUGCAAGUAAUAGUGGUAGGUCAUAGUCUUAUGUGGAAAAGUAGGGUGAGGUUGAGACCAUCCCUAGGAAUAAUUGUUGAAUUCUAUUACAAAUGAGAGGUAUUGUUCAAUCAGUGCCGUACUUGAAUGACAUUUCUCUCCUGGAAAUCUCCAUUCCAAAAUCUAUACAAGAUUCAAUCUUACCUGUUCAUAGGGUUAGGGGUUAGGAAUUUACAAAUGGUAAAUGCAUUUAGGAAAGUGAUCAUAAUCUUAAUAGAUUAUGAUCACAUCUCUUUUAUUGAAUACUAACAUUUAUAUGUUUUGUGUAUAGUCUUUCUCUCUCUAUCUCCUUCUCACUCUAUCUCACAUCAUUUGACCUUCUUGGCUUCACAUGCCAUUGACAGGUAAAUAAAUGAUCACUUUAUCUACUCUCAUUGUUAUGCUUUAAUUUUAUGAUUAUAUAUUGCAUACUUUGUUAGGUUUUUGUGUAUAUUUGACAUUGUCCUUGUUUGGCAUUGGUCAUUCAAAAACCUUGGAAACCCAUUCAUUUCCUUAUUCACAUGUAAUGUGAGUGGGAAUUGAAUUGUCUUGAUUAAACAUUUUGAAAUUUCAUCCUCCACUUAACUACAUGGACGAAUAGCAUUUGUUCUAUUAUAUAUGUGUAGGAAUUUCAUAUCAUCUGCCUCUAUUCUGCGGGUACAUAUGUCUUAGUGCACUUGGAGAACCUAGGGGAGAUGCUUAUGAAAUUUUUACAAAUAUAUAAUCGACCAUUUAUCAUCUUUUGUAUGUGGAGAUGGUGCAAUUCUGAAUGGGUUAAGGCCUUAACCUUGCAUAUGUAUAGUAGUGAAUAAGGGGCGUACACAACAUAUCAAUGGUUAAUAAAUGGCUUAAUUCUAAGCACAUGUCCUAUUAAACCAGCUAUUUAGGAAAUGAGUUCAGAUCGGAUGUGAAUGUAUGCUAGGCUGAAGGAUGGGUUGUUGAACCCUGAUUUCCUACAAGGGAUUAAUGAAUUCAUCAUUUUUGCUAAGAGGCAUCCAAAAUGUAUGGAUGGAGAUGAACUUAAGUGUCCAUGUCAUAGAUAUAAGUGUCAGAACCUUAGUUUUGAAGAUGAGAAUACUGUUAAGUAACAUCUAAUGAAGCAUGUAUUCAUGCCAUCUUGUUAUGAAUGGUAUUUGUUAUUUGUAGUAUGCCCUAUAGCAUAUCAUUUAGUAUAUAUCUU